CACGUGAGCAACCUACCGAACCUGUGGGGGAUAGCCGGCCUAACGGCCGAGUAAUACCGCAUACGCUUUCAGUGAGGCAUUUCAUUGAAAGGAAACCUACGGGACAGAUCGAGGGGCUCGCGGCCUAUCAGCUAGUUGGCGAGGUAACGGCUCACCAAGGCAACGACGGGUAGCUGGUCUGAGAGGAUGGCCAGCCACAUUGGGACUGAGAUACGGCCCAG
This 221-nucleotide ribosomal RNA is filed under the name uncultured bacterium. RNAcentral's name for it is "partial 16S ribosomal RNA". It matches the Rfam family "Bacterial small subunit ribosomal RNA", at positions 114 to 334 of the family's 1533-position model. The record is from RNAcentral.